Non-coding RNA from Vicia faba (fava bean), 376 nucleotides. The record is from the annotation of a GenBank genome assembly. NCBI's taxonomy places the organism in Eukaryota, Viridiplantae, Streptophyta, Magnoliopsida, Fabales, Fabaceae.
AACACCAAUUCAUCAUCUUCAUCACACAUCAUCAACCUUUGCUUCAAUCAUCCGCAAAGCACUCCCUCAUCAAACUUCAACAACCUUCAUCUCUCCCUCUAAACUGCACCUUCAAUCAUCUUCAUCAUCUUCGUCUCUCCCUCCAAACUGCACCUUCAAUCAUCUUCAUCAUCUUCAUCUCUCAAAAAAAUCUCUCUGCACAUCAACAACCGUAACAACGUCAUCUUCAAUCUACAUCUUCCAAGAACGCUCCAAUCGCGUAACUUUCGAAUCCGCAAUAAUUUCUACGCAACAAAUCAGAAAGCGGAUCGAAGAGGAAGAAGAAGAAAAGAGGAAGGAGAAAAAGAAGUUUGAGGAGAAGAUUCGGAAGGAUUGA